GUGGGGAAUAUUGGACAAUGGGGGGAACCCUGAUCCAGCCAUGCCGCGUGUGUGAAGAAGGCCUUUUGGUUGUAAAGCACUUUAAGCGAGGAGGAGGCUACCGAGAUUAAUACUCUUGGAUAGUGGACGUUACUCGCAGAAUAAGCACCGGCUAACUCUGUGCCAGCAGCCGCGGUAAUACAGAGGGUGCAAGCGUUAAUCGGAUUUACUGGGCGUAAAGAGCGCGUAGGUGGCCAAUUAAGUCAAAUGUGAAAUCCCCGGGCUUAACUUGGGAAUUGCAUUCGAUACUGGUUGGGUAGAGUAUGGGAGAGGAUGGUAGAAUUCCAGGUGUAGCGGUGAAAUGCGUAGAGAUCUGGAGGAAUACCGAUGGCGAAGGCAGCCAUCUGGCCUAAUACUGACACUGAGGUGCGAAAGCAUGGGGAGCAAACAGGAUUAGAUACCCCAGUAGUCC
This 451-nucleotide ribosomal RNA is filed under the name uncultured bacterium. Its description in RNAcentral is "partial 16S ribosomal RNA". It matches the Rfam family "Bacterial small subunit ribosomal RNA", at positions 354 to 796 of the family's 1533-position model. The record is from RNAcentral.